CAUUGCUUUGCUUUUUUAAAUGGUUUUAUUAUAUUAAAGAUACUAGUAACUGACAAUACAUUUUUAGGAUUUUUUAAUGUUUUUCAACUGAACAAUUUAUACUGUAUAUAUGUUUCUGUAACUUUUAAACAACAAGCCAUUAUGUUUUUAAGAUUCAUCCAUGAGUUACUUUUUAUUGAUAUGUUAAUACUGCUAUGAAUAUUUCUGUACAUCUCUCCUGGUACACAUGUCAAGAGUUUACCCAGAAGUGAAAUUACUGAGUAAUAGACUCUGUGCAUCUUCAUUUUUUUAAAGUCACAUUUCUUAGUAAAGACAGUAGUCCUAAUACAUGUGUCCACUUUUAUUUCCUUUUAAAAUCACACUAAAGUUUUUAAGAAGGCAAAAAUCCACAGCGAUGGGGAAAAGAGAAGACAAGACAGUAUCAAUAAAAUUUUUAAAUCAGUAAAGUAGAUGGAUGAAUGGUAAAUUACUUGGUAGAACUGAGAAAGCCAAACCUAAGAUAGGGUGAGGGGUCAGACCAACUUAAUGUAUGCUGCAGAAUCUUCAAAAGACUCCAUAAUAGGUAUCUCUGGAAGAUGGGAUAAAAAGAGCUAGCUGAAAGAUGGUGAAUUGAUUGAAAGUGUUUUAAAAAGCAGUGAAAUUCUCAAAUCACCUUCUCUAUACUAACCCAUGAGUAAUUAUCCCUCACACCCAGCAGAAUUAUUCUCCAGAGAAGCUAAAACAGAACUUGACUGAGGAAAAGUAGAUACAGUUGAGGACACAGAUACUGUAAAGAAAUAGGAAGAUUAAUUGAAUGUGUGCCUUUUAAAUACUGAGAGAUCCACCUUAUUCACUUUUUAGAACACUGGAAGCCAGGCCUUUGCUUUCUAUACAAGAUUUUGGAAGAGUCUUCUCUGGGGGAUCUGACCAGUCCGUAGAAAGAUGUAAAGAAAAUGACAUUGCACCUUCCCCAAUAUAUGGCCCACCUAGGUCACGCUACAGGGAAGUUCACAGUUGACAAGCUCACCAGGACUUUAGUCAUAGACCUUUAAAAAUGAACAUUUAAUCAAGGAGACAUUUGAGAAAGGAAAUCUCUAAUAUGAAAGAAAGAGCAAAAUAAAUGGAUGAAAUUAUUAUAUAUAUAUGUGGGACGGAUAAAACCUCAAAAAUAAAAAUAGAACUGUAUCUAUCAUUAAUAUUUUCAGAGAUGUAAGAGAAUAUAUGUUUUUCUGGAACAAAAACGAUGUCGUGAAAAUUAAACAGAACCAGAAACAGCUCUUAGAAAUUAAAAAUAUGAUGGAAGAAAUGAAAUACUUAAUAAAAGAGUUGGAUGAUAAAAGAACACCCCAGAAAACAUUAAAAAUACAAAGAAAAGAUAAGGAAAUUAGAGGAGUAGUCCAGGAGUUAUGACAUUUGAGAAACAGAAGUUCAGAAUGUGAAAAUGGAAAACAGAAGACAGGAAAUCAAUCAUAAGGCAGAUUUGCCUUGCCUUAGGGGCUUUCCCUGAGAAGCCCAGGACUCUGGCUCACACUGUGGUGGCUGUACUUACCCACUUCCUUCUGAAAUUUGGCAAAGAAAUACUAAAAGAUGCUCCAGUGGAUGAGUCUGGGUACCAAACAUAUUUCUUUCUGCUCCCACGGUAUGGAGGAAGAGGCUACGAUGUAAGCAAUGCAUGCAGUCUCUAAAAGCUCAAAAGGGCAGAGAAACGGCCUUUAGAAGGAAUGCAGCGGCGCUAACACAUUUUAGACUUCGGAUCUCCUGAACUUCUUUAGGCCGUAAGCACUGCAUUCCUGGGAUCUCAUUCAAUGUUGUCUCGCUCCUGCCUUCUAUACAGCCACUAGCACUUACCUGGAGUUAACUGUGGUCCAGAAGCAGGUGAUCCUCCGUCUGAUACAUGGUCAGAAGGUCCUAACACUACAUCACAACACCUGUAUCCUUCACCUCACUACCUCUCACGUUAUCAUCUCCCAUCAUCAGAAGGAGGAGAAGCUGCCCAAGACUGGAGGAACAUAACAUGGGAAGAAAAUGAGUGCAGUAAGAGAAGCUUAAGGGAAAACAAAAAUAAAACAAGGGAAAUAAAGGACUCCAGGACCUCUUAUUGUCUUCUCUUUUGGAACCAGAAGCCACCCUGUAUGGGGCACCUGAAUCUUGCCACUGACCUUCCUGUACCAGGCUCAAUCUCUCUCUCCGACCCUCUCAUCAUUUAAGGUAAAUGGAUGGAUGCACCGUAGCUGUUGUGGCUAUGUUGUGUUUUUCAUGCUCGAUUCCACAUUCGUGUCACUGUCAGGCUUCUUGACACAUGAGAGAAAGGAAUCUUCCACAACUCCUGGCUAAACAGAGGACCACUCUCUGCAUGAGUGUAGAGGACGAUUAGACUGGGGAUGUGGCAGCCUCUUUCCUUACUGUAGUAAUGCUCUAAAUGAAAAUUUGAGUUUCCUGAAUUCACCAUGUUUUUUUUUUUUUUUUUUUUUUUUUUUUUGGUGGGGGGAGGAGGUCUAUACUUUUGCCAUUUGUUUUUAAGGUUGAUUAAUACUCUUUCUCACUUCCAGGCCUCUUUAACUGUUUUUCCUCCGCUUAGAAUGCAUCCCCCCAAGUUUUCAUAUAGCUAGUUCUUUUCUUAUCCUUCCCACCUGCACCAGGGAAACAUUCACUGGUACAUCCCUUUGGGAGAUACUAUAGCCAGACUCCAUCAGCAUCUAUUUCAACCUUCUACUGGUGAGCCUUCAUUUUUUUGAAGAGUUUAGAAAACUCAAAAAUAUACUUCUCUGCUCCCUUUGUGGCCAGGGUUCUAGCUUAGUUUUGGUUUCUUCAGUGAACUACAGGCAUACUUUGUUUUACUGCAUUUUGCAGACAUUGUGCGCCCCUGUUUGUCUGUUUUUUUAAACAGUUGAAGAUUAAUGGCAACCCUGCAUCGAGAAAUCUGUCAGCACCAUUUUUUCCUACAGCAUCUGCUCUCUUCAUGUCUCUGUGUCACAUUUUGGUAAUUUUCACAAUAUUUCAAACUUUCCCAUUAUUAUUCUAUGUGUUAUAAUGAUCUGUGAUACGUGAUCUUUGAUAUUACUACUGUAAUUGCUUUGGGGCACCACAAACUGUGCUCACAUAAGAUGGUAAACUUAGUCCAUAAAUGUGGUAUGUGUUCUGACUGCUUCAUCAGCCCGCUGUUCCACCAUCUCUCUCUCUCUCCCUCUCCUCAGGCCUCCCUAUUCCCCGAGACACAACAAUAUUGAAAUGAGGUCAAUUAAUAACCCUGCAGUGCCCUCUAAGUGUUCAAGUGAAAGGAUGAGCUGCACAUCUCUCACUUGAAUCGAAAGGUAGAAAUGAUUAAGCUUAGUGUGCAAGGUAUGUCAAAAGCCACGGUAGGCCAAAAGCUAGGCUUCAUGCUCUAGUUAGUCAAGUUGAGAAUGAAAAGGAAAAGUUCUUGAAGGAAAGUAAAAGUGCUACUCCUGCGAAGGCACAAAUGAUAAGAAAGUGAAAUAGCCUUCUUGUUGAUAUGGAGAAAGCGUUAGCGGUCUGGAUGGAAGAUCAAACCAGCCACAACAUUACCUUAAAUCAAAGCCUAACCCCAGAGCAAGACCUUAACUCUCUUCAGAUCUUCUUCAGUGAAGAAGCUGCAGAAGAAAAGUCUGAAGCUGGCAGAGGUUGGCUCAUGAGGUUUAAAGAAAGAAAAUUCUUCAUAACAUCAAGUGCAAGGUGAAGCAGCAAGUGCUGAUGUGGAAGCUGCAGGAAGUUCUCCAGAAGAUCUAGUGAAGAUAAUUAAUGAAGGUGGCUACACUAAACAACAGGUUUCCAAUAGAGAGGAAGCACCUUCUAUUGGAAGAAGAUGCCAUGUAGGACUUUCACAGCUAGAGACCAGUUAUUUGCAAAUAUCUUCUUCCAUUCAGUAGGCUGCCUUUUUGUUUUGGUUUUGUUAUGUAAAACCGUUCUUGUUUGAUAUAGUCCCACUUGUU
Molecule: long non-coding RNA, 3926 nt
Organism: Herpailurus yagouaroundi (jaguarundi)
Lineage: Eukaryota; Metazoa; Chordata; Mammalia; Carnivora; Felidae
Exons: 8
Source: RefSeq, a predicted model, not a curated record